AGUGAACGCUGGCGGCAGGCCUAACACAUGCAAGUCGAGCGGCAGCGCGUCCGACCACCCUCGGGUGGUCGGAUGGCGGCGAGCGGCGGACGGGUGAGGAAUGCAUCGGAAUCUGCCUCGUUGUGGGGGAUAACGUAGGGAAACUUACGCUAAUACCGCAUACGACCUACGGGUGAAAGUGGGGGACCUUCGGGCCUCACGCGAUUGGAUGAGCCGAUGUCCGAUUAGCUAGUUGGCGGGGUAAUGGCCCACCAAGGCGACGAUCGGUAGCUGGUCUGAGAGGAUGAUCAGCCACACUGGAACUGAGACACGGUCCAGACUCCUACGGGAGGCAGCAGUGGGGAAUAUUGGACAAUGGGCGCAAGCCUGAUCCAGCCAUGCCGCGUGGGU
This 390-nucleotide ribosomal RNA is filed under the name uncultured bacterium. Its description in RNAcentral is "bacterial SSU rRNA". It matches the Rfam family "Bacterial small subunit ribosomal RNA", at positions 28 to 406 of the family's 1533-position model. The record is from RNAcentral.